GUUUUAUUUAUAAUUUUUGUUUUAUUUAAUUUGAAUAAAACGUUAUAUUUUUUUUUAGUGAGCAAGAAGGAAGACACAAGGAAAUGGAUGUGAUAAUAUAAUUUGUAAGUUUACGUGUUUCGAAAUAGGAAUAGAACGUCUCGAGUGACAUAAGUAUUUGAAUGAUUUUAAAAUUCAUUCAAUUCAAAAAAAUAUUUCGAUAAAAAAGAAUUGUUCGAAAAACUUAUUUUCCUCAGCUUUAAUCAUGCAAACAGAUUGCAAUCAAUUGCUAAUACAAA
This is a long non-coding RNA of Apis florea (little honeybee), 278 nucleotides long. RefSeq lists it as uncharacterized. NCBI's taxonomy places the organism in Eukaryota, Metazoa, Arthropoda, Insecta, Hymenoptera, Apidae. The record is from RefSeq and is a predicted model, not a curated record.